UGGUUCUCGCAUCGAUGAAGAACGCAGCGAAUUGCGAUAUGUAAUGUGAAUUGCAGAAUUCAGUGAAUCAUCAAAUCUUUGAACGCACCUUGCGCCCUUUGGUAUUCCGAAGGGCAUGCCUGUUUGAGUGUCAUUAAAUCCUCAACUUCAAAAUGUUUUGAAGCUUGGACUGUGGAGGUCUUGCCGGCAGAAAUGCCAGCUCCUCUUAAAUGCAUUAGCGGAACUUUUUCCAUUAAUAAUGGACCAGCUUUGGUUUGAUAAUCUUAUCUAUGCCGUCGCUGUGGACAUUUAGUUCAGCUUCUAAUUGUCUUUGGACUGUCUCGUUUAUGAGGCAUAUACUUUUAAGCUUGACCUCAAAUCAGGUAAGACCACCCGCUGA
Molecule: unclassified non-coding RNA, 379 nt
Filed under: uncultured fungus
Lineage: Eukaryota; Fungi
Description: partial contains 5.8S ribosomal RNA and internal transcribed spacer 2
Rfam family: 5.8S ribosomal RNA (bases 1-133)
Source: RNAcentral